GUGUCAGCCGCCGCGGUAAUACGGAGGGUGCAAGCGUUAUCCGGAUUCAUUGGGUUUAAAGGGUGCGCAGGCGGAUACUUAAGUCAGUGGUGAAAUCCCGGGGCUCAACCCCGGAACUGCCAUUGAUACUGAAUAUCUGGAAUACGGUUGAAGUGGGCGGAAUGUAGCAUGUAGCGGUGAAAUGCAUAGAGAUGCUACAGAACACCGAUCGCGAAGGCAGCUCACUAAGCCGAUAUUGACGCUCAGCACGAAAGCGUGGGGAGCGAACAGGAUUAGAUACCCUGGUAGUCCACGCCGUAAACGAUGAUAACUCGUUGUUGGCGACACACAGUCAGCGACUAAGCGAAAGCGAUAAGUUAUCCACCUGGGGAGUACGAUCGCAAGGUUGAAACUCAAAUGAAUUGACGG
Molecule: ribosomal RNA, 408 nt
Filed under: uncultured bacterium
Lineage: Bacteria
Description: bacterial SSU rRNA
Rfam family: Bacterial small subunit ribosomal RNA
Source: RNAcentral